AGAACGAACGCUGGCGGCAUGCCUAACACAUGCAAGUCGAACGCUUUUGGGGCUUCGGUCCCAAAGGAGUGGCGCACGGGUGAGUAGCGCGUGGGAACCUGCCCUGUUGUGGGGGAUAACCGAGGGAAACUUCGGCUAAUACCGCAUACGCCCGGGGGAAACUCCGGGGAAAGAUUUAUCGCAGCAGGAGGGGCCCGCGUCGGAUUAGGUAGUUGGUGGGGUAACGGCCCACCAAGCCUGUGAUCCGUAGCUGGUCUGAGAGGAUGAUCAGCCACACUGGGACUGAGACACGGCCCAGACUCCUACGGGAGGCAGCAGUGGGGAAUAUUGGACAAUGGGCGCAAGCCUGAUCCAGCAAUGCCGCGUGAGUGAUGAAGGCCUUCGGGUUGUAAAGCUCUUUCGCUACGCGACGAUGAUGACGGUAGCGUGAGAGAAGCCCGGCUAACUCGUGCCAGCAGCCGC
This 462-nucleotide ribosomal RNA is filed under the name uncultured bacterium. RNAcentral describes it as "SSU rRNA". It matches the Rfam family "Bacterial small subunit ribosomal RNA", at positions 26 to 518 of the family's 1533-position model. The record is from RNAcentral.